RNAcentral lists this ribosomal RNA (946 nucleotides) under Enterococcus faecium. Its description in RNAcentral is "bacterial SSU rRNA". It matches the Rfam family "Bacterial small subunit ribosomal RNA", at positions 8 to 924 of the family's 1533-position model. The record is from RNAcentral. Lineage: Bacteria; Bacillati; Bacillota; Bacilli; Lactobacillales; Enterococcaceae.
AGAGUUUGAUCCUGGCUCAGGACGAACGCUGGCGGCGUGCCUAAUACAUGCAAGUCGAACGCUUCUUUUUCCACCGGAGCUUGCUCCACCGGAAAAAGAAGAGUGGCGAACGGGUGAGUAACACGUGGGUAACCUGCCCAUCAGAAGGGGAUAACACUUGGAAACAGGUGCUAAUACCGUAUAACAAUCAAAACCGCAUGGUUUUGAUUUGAAAGGCGCUUUCGGGUGUCGCUGAUGGAUGGACCCGCGGUGCAUUAGCUAGUUGGUGAGGUAACGGCUCACCAAGGCCACGAUGCAUAGCCGACCUGAGAGGGUGAUCGGCCACAUUGGGACUGAGACACGGCCCAAACUCCUACGGGAGGCAGCAGUAGGGAAUCUUCGGCAAUGGACGAAAGUCUGACCGAGCAACGCCGCGUGAGUGAAGAAGGUUUUCGGAUCGUAAAACUCUGUUGUUAGAGAAGAACAAGGAUGAGAGUAACUGUUCAUCCCUUGACGGUAUCUAACCAGAAAGCCACGGCUAACUACGUGCCAGCAGCCGCGGUAAUACGUAGGUGGCAAGCGUUGUCCGGAUUUAUUGGGCGUAAAGCGAGCGCAGGUGGUUUCUUAAGUCUGAUGUGAAAGCCCCCGGCUCAACCGGGGAGGGUCAUUGGAAACUGGGAGACUUGAGUGCAGAAGAGGAGAGUGGAAUUCCAUGUGUAGCGGUGAAAUGCGUAGAUAUAUGGAGGAACACCAGUGGCGAAGGCGGCUCUCUGGUCUGUAACUGACGCUGAGGCUCGAAAGCGUGGGGAGCAAACAGGAUUAGAUACCCUGGUAGUCCACGCCGUAAACGAUGAGUGCUAAGUGGUGGAGGGUUUCCGCCCUUCAGUGCUGCAGCUAACGCAUUAAGCACUCCGCCUGGGGAGUACGACCGCAAGGUUGAAACUCAAAGGAAUUGACGGGGGCCCGC